UUUUUUGUCGUUCUUUGAGGUAAUUACGAUUGAGGUGGUUUUUUUUUCCAUUAAGCUGAGUGAGAGAGAGAGAGUUAAUUUUUUUUUUGAAGACGGAGAGUUAACUUUUGUAAAUGAGAUUAGACGCUGGAAUUUGUUAACUGUAGGGAGGUUGACUUGGAAUAAACUGUUUGAAUAUGGAAAGGUAAAGUAGGUGAGGGGAAGAAAAUAAUUCACCUGCUAGUUUAGCUAGUAGGGGAUUGGAUUAGCUUUAAACGCGCGGCCAUUCAUUGAUUGAUGGUAUUUCUUCUUGUUUGAGCUGUUGGUGACUCAGAG
Molecule: long non-coding RNA, 315 nt
Filed under: Linum usitatissimum (flax)
Lineage: Eukaryota; Viridiplantae; Streptophyta; Magnoliopsida; Malpighiales; Linaceae
Description: long non-coding RNA (LUSI_LNC004794)
Source: RNAcentral